This 324-nucleotide ribosomal RNA is filed under the name uncultured eukaryote. RNAcentral describes it as "partial 18S ribosomal RNA". It matches the Rfam family "Eukaryotic small subunit ribosomal RNA", at positions 1470 to 1796 of the family's 1831-position model. The record is from RNAcentral.
CCCUUAGAUGUUCUGGGCCGCACGCGCGCUACACUGAUGCAUUCAACGAGUUUCUUCCUGGUCCGAGAGGAAUGGGUAACCUUUUGAAAGUGCAUCGUGAUAGGGAUAGACUAUUGCAAUUAUUGGUCUUCAACGAGGAAUUCCUAGUAGACGUAGUUCAUCAGACUGCAUCGAUUACGUCCCUGCCCUUUGUACACACCGCCCGUCGCUCCUACCGAGUGAAUGCUCAGGUGAGCCAUUCGGACUUUCAUCAUGCUGGUUUCCAGUUUUGAUGAAGGAAAGUCUUGCGAACCUUAUCAUUUAGAGGAAGGAGAAGUCGUAACA